UGGGGAAUUUUGGACAAUGGGCGAAAGCCUGAUCCAGCAAUGCCGCGUGUGUGAAGAAGGCCUUCGGGUUGUAAAGCACUUUUGUCCGGAAAGAAAUCCUUGGCUCUAAUACAGUCGGGGGAUGACGGUACCGGAAGAAUAAGCACCGGCUAACUACGUGCCAGCAGCCGCGGUAAUACGUAGGGUGCAAGCGUUAAUCGGAAUUACUGGGCGUAAAGCGUGCGCAGGCGGUUUGCUAAGACCGAUGUGAAAUCCCCGGGCUCAACCUGGGAACUGCAUUGGUGACUGGCAGGCUAGAGUAUGGCAGAGGGGGGUAGAAUUCCACGUGUAGCAGUGAAAUGCGUAGAGAUGUGGAGGAAUACCGAUGGCGAAGGCAGCCCCCUGGGCCAAUACUGACGCUCAUGCACGAAAGCGUGGGGAGCAAACAGGAUUAGAUACCCUGGUAGUCCACGCCCUAAACGAUGUCAACUAGUUGUUGGGGAUUCAUUUCCUUAGUAACGUAGCUAACGCGUGAAGUUGACCGCCUGGGGAGUACGGUCGCAAGAUUAAAACUCAAAGGAAUUGACGGGGUCC
RNAcentral lists this ribosomal RNA (573 nucleotides) under uncultured bacterium. RNAcentral's name for it is "partial 16S ribosomal RNA". It matches the Rfam family "Bacterial small subunit ribosomal RNA", at positions 355 to 921 of the family's 1533-position model. The record is from RNAcentral.